AGGGGAAAGAGAGAGGAGUCGUUUAUGCAGUAUCAACAAAGAGAUACGAAAUAAAUAUGCAUAUAUUUCAAACCUAUGUGUAGCGAAAGCAGCACGUCGUCAGGGUAUUGCUAGCAAUAUGUUGAAGUUUGCAGUUGUAACAGCGAGAUUCAGUGGUAUUGAACAGGUAUACGUGCAUGUACAUAGAAACAAUUUGCCCGCCCAAGCGUUGUACCAAAAGAUAGGCUUUGAGGUGGUAGAAAUAGCAAGUUCGCAGUUGGUGGAAGAACAAACUUACCUACUAUGUAUUAACACAGGGAAGCUUAACAAUGUACAUUUAUGUUGAUAUCCA
Molecule: unclassified non-coding RNA, 331 nt
Filed under: Hevea brasiliensis (rubber tree)
Lineage: Eukaryota; Viridiplantae; Streptophyta; Magnoliopsida; Malpighiales; Euphorbiaceae
Source: RNAcentral